UAAUACCGAAUACACCCUGCUGGUUGCAUGGCCUGGUGGGGGAAAGCUUUUGCGGUGUGGGAUGGGCCCGCGGCCUAUCAGCUUGUUGGUGAGGUUACGGCUCACCAAGGCGACGACGGGUAGCCGGCCUGAGAGGGUGACCGGCCACACUGGGACUGAGAUACGGCCCACACUCCUACGGGAGGCAGCAGUGGGGAAUAUUGCACAAUGGGCGCAAGCCUGAUGCAGCGACCCCGCGUGGGGGAUGACGGCCUUCGGGUUGUAAACCUCUUUGCACUAGGGACAAGCGCAAGUGACGGUACCUACAGAAGAAGGACCGGCCAACUACGUGCCAGCACCGGUAU
RNAcentral lists this ribosomal RNA (344 nucleotides) under Mycobacterium sp. CT-24. RNAcentral's name for it is "bacterial SSU rRNA". It matches the Rfam family "Bacterial small subunit ribosomal RNA", at positions 164 to 520 of the family's 1533-position model. Lineage: Bacteria; Bacillati; Actinomycetota; Actinomycetes; Mycobacteriales; Mycobacteriaceae. The record is from RNAcentral.